This 348-nucleotide RNase P RNA is filed under the name Chloroflexota bacterium. Its description in RNAcentral is "Chloroflexi bacterium RNase P RNA component class A". It matches the Rfam family "Bacterial RNase P class A". Rfam says of the family: Ribonuclease P (RNase P) is a ubiquitous endoribonuclease, found in archaea, bacteria and eukarya as well as chloroplasts and mitochondria. Its best characterised activity is the generation of mature 5'-ends of tRNAs by cleaving the 5'-leader elements of precursor-tRNAs. The record is from RNAcentral. Lineage: Bacteria; Bacillati; Chloroflexota.
GGGUGGACCGAGGGGAUCGCGGCGGGUCAUGCGCCCGUCGAGGAAAGUCCGCACUCCAAAGGGCGGCGAUGCCGGCUAACGGCCGGGCAGGGCAACCUGACGGCAAGUGCAACAGAGAGCAGAUUGCGUCGCUAGGCGCGAGGGUGAAAGGGUGCGGUAAGAGCGCACCGGCAGCGGCAGUAAUGUCGCUGGCCAGGCAAACCCCAUCGGGAGCAAGGUGAAACAGGCGCAGUGGAGCGGCCCGUUCCGUAGAAAGCGCCGGGUACACCGCUAGAGGUCGGCGGCGACGCCGAUCCCAGAUAGAUGAUCCCCCUAUGACAGAAUGCGGCUUAUGCGGUCGACCCGGCG